Molecule: ribosomal RNA, 1587 nt
Filed under: Candidatus Loosdrechtia aerotolerans
Lineage: Bacteria; Pseudomonadati; Planctomycetota; Candidatus Brocadiia; Candidatus Brocadiales; Candidatus Brocadiaceae
Description: bacterial SSU rRNA
Rfam family: Bacterial small subunit ribosomal RNA
Source: RNAcentral
AGGGUAUGAUCUUGGCUCAGAACGAACGCUGGCGGCGUGGAUUAGGCAUGCAAGUCGAACGAGGGAGUGAUCCGAAAGGGUCACAAACCGAGUGGCGUAAGGGUGAGUAAUGCAUUGAUAACCUGCCUUUGAGACGGGGAUAACAACGUUCCGGGUAAAACCGGGACUUCCGAAAGGGUUGCUAAUACCCGAUGAGACCUGUGGUACAAGGGUGCCGGAGGUCAAAGGAUUGUGGCGUGAGCCAUAUUUUGCUCAGAGAGGGGUCAAUGUCCUAUCAGCUAGUUGGUAGGGUAAAGGCCUACCAAGGCGAAGACGGGUAGCCGGCUUGAGAGGGUGGUCGGCCACAUUGGGACUGAGACACUGCCCAGACUCCUACGGGAGGCUGCAGUCGAGAAUCUUUCGCAAUGCCCGCAAGGGUGACGAAGCGACGCCGCGUGUGGGAAGAAGGCCUUCGGGUUGUAAACCACUGUUAGGGGUUAAGAAGGGUAAGGGAAGACCUUACCGUGACGAAAGCCCCAGAGGAAGUCACGGCUAACUCUGUGCCAGCAGCCGCGGUAAUACAGAGGUGGCAAGCGUUGUUCGGAAUUAUUGGGCGUAAAGAGCACGUAGGCGGCCUUGCAAGUCAGCUGUGAAAGCCUUCCGCUUAACGGAAGAACGGCAGUUGAUACUACGGGGCUAGAGUACGGGAGGGGAGAGUGGAACUUCUGGUGGAGCGGUGAAAUGCGUAGAUAUCAGAAGGAACACCGGCGGCGAAAGCGACUCUCUGGUCCGUAACUGACGCUGAGGUGCGAAAGCUAGGGGAGCAAACGGGAUUAGAUACCCCGGUAGUCCUAGCCGUAAACGAUGGGCACUCGGUAGGGGGGCCUUAGAUGUUUCCCUGCCUGAGCUAACGCGUUAAGUGCCCCGCCUGGGGAGUACGGCCGCAAGGCUAAAACUCAAAAGAAUUGACGGGGGCUCGCACAAGCGGUGGAGCAUGUGGCUUAAUUCGAUGCAACACGAAGAACCUUACCGGGGCUUGACAUGGUAGUAGUAGGAGCCUGAAAGGGUGACGAACGGUAUCCAGUCCGUUGCUAUCACAGGUGUUGCAUGGCUGUCGUCAGCUCGUGUCGUGAGACGUUGGGUUAAGUCCCCUAACGAGCGAAACCCUUGUCUUUAGUUGCAAACGGGUAGAGCCGAGCACUCUAAAGAGACUGCUGUCGUUAAGACGGAGGAAGGUGGGGAUGACGUCAAGUCAUCAUGGCCCUUAUGUCCCGGGCUGCACACGUGCUACAAUGGUCGGUACAGAGGGAUGCGAAGUCGUAAGGCGGAGCGAAACCCCGGAAAAGCCGAUCCCAGUUCAGAUUGGAGGCUGAAACUCGCCUCUAUGAAGUAGGAAUCGCUAGUAAUCGCGGAUCAGCUAUGCCGCGGUGAAUAUGUUCCCGAGCCUUGUACACACCGCCCGUCAAGCCACCCAAGCAGGGCGUACCCGAAAUCGCUGGCCUAACCCCGUAACAGGGGGGGGAGGUGACUAAGGUGUGUCUUGUGAGGAGGACUAAGUCGUAACAAGGUAGUCGUAGGAGAACCUGCGGCUGGAUCACCUCCUUUCUA